UACGGAGGGAGCUAGCGUUGUUCGGAAAUACUGGGCGUAAAGCGAACGUAGGCGGCUUUUCAAGUCAGGGGUGAAAUCCCGGAGCUCAACUCCGGAACUGCCCUUGAAACUGGAUCGCUAGAAUCCUGGAGAGGCGAGUGGAAUUCCGAGUGUAGAGGUGAAAUUCGUAGAUAUUCGGAAGAACACCAGUGGCGAAGGCGGCUCGCUGGACAGGUAUUGACGCUGAGGUUCGAAAGCGUGGGGAGCAAACAGG
This 253-nucleotide ribosomal RNA is filed under the name uncultured bacterium. Its description in RNAcentral is "partial 16S ribosomal RNA". It matches the Rfam family "Bacterial small subunit ribosomal RNA", at positions 524 to 776 of the family's 1533-position model. The record is from RNAcentral.